Eucalyptus grandis is the source of this 107-nucleotide small nucleolar RNA. The record is from RefSeq and is a predicted model, not a curated record. NCBI's taxonomy places the organism in Eukaryota, Viridiplantae, Streptophyta, Magnoliopsida, Myrtales, Myrtaceae.
AGUCCAUGGUGUGGGCAUCUUUUUGACAAUUCCUUAAACCUCUCCCAUGCUUCAUAAAAAGGGUUUACUAUCCAUAUGAGUAAAUGUAGUAAUAUCAUUAUGCAUUU